CCUACGGGAGGCAGCAGUGGGGAAUAUUGCACAAUGGAGGAAACCCUGAUGCAGCGACGCCGCGUGAGUGAAGAAGUAUUUCGGUAUGUAAAGCUCUAUCAGCAGGGAAGAAAAUGCAGGUACCUGUUUAUGACGCCCCGGCUAACUCCGUGACAGCAGCCGCGGUAAUACGUAGGGUGCCAGCGUUAUCCGGAUUUACUGGGUGUAAAGGGAGCGUAGACGGCAGAACAAGUCUGGAGUGAAAUGCCGGGGCUUAACCUCGGAACUGCUUGGGAAACUGUGCAGCUAGAGUGCAGGAGAGGUAAGUGGAAUGUGUGGUGUAGCGGUGAAAUGCGUAGAGAUUAGGAGGAACACCAGUGGCGAAGGCGGCUUACUGGACUGUAACUGACGUUGAGGCUCGAAAGCGUGGGGAGCAAACAGGAUUAGAUACCCUAGUAGUC
Molecule: ribosomal RNA, 440 nt
Filed under: uncultured bacterium
Lineage: Bacteria
Description: partial 16S ribosomal RNA
Rfam family: Bacterial small subunit ribosomal RNA
Source: RNAcentral